This 446-nucleotide ribosomal RNA is filed under the name uncultured bacterium. RNAcentral describes it as "partial 16S ribosomal RNA". It matches the Rfam family "Bacterial small subunit ribosomal RNA", at positions 338 to 795 of the family's 1533-position model. The record is from RNAcentral.
CCUACGGGUGGCAGCAGUCGAGAAUCAUUCACAAUGGGGGAAACCCUGAUGGUGCGACGCCGCGUGGGGGAAUGAAGGUCUUCGGAUUGUAAACCCCUUUCAUGUGGGAGCAAAUUAAAAAGAUAGUACCACAAGAGGAAGAGACGGCUAACUCUGUGCCAGCAGCCGCGGUAAUACAGAGGUCUCAAGCGUUUUUCGGAAUCACUGGGCGUAAAGCGUGCGUAGGCUGUUUAGUAAGUCGUGUGUGAAAUGCGCGGGCUAAACCCGCGGACUGCACAUGAUACUGCGAGACUAGAGUAAGGGAGGGGGAAGCGGAAUUCCCGGUGUAGCAGUGAAAUGCGUAGAUAUCGAGAGGAACACUCGUGGCGAAGGCGGGUUCCUGGAAAUUAACUGACGCUGAGGCACGAAGGCCAGGGGAGCGAAAGGGAUUAGAUACCCGUGUAGUC